GGGGGGGGGGGGGGGGGGGGGGGGGGGGGGGAGGGGGGGGGGGGGGGCGGGGGGGUGGGGGGGCGGACGUGGGCGGCGGGCGGGGGAGGAACACGGGGGUAACGUACCUAGAAGACGGGGAUAACUGCGGGAAACCGGAGCGAAUACCGGAUAAUAUAUUGAACCGCAUGGUUCAAUAGUGAAAGACGGUUUUGCUGUCACUUAUAGAUGGAUCCGCGCCGCAUUAGCUAGUUGGUAAGGUAACGGCUUACCAAGGCGACGAUGCGUAGCCGACCUGAGAGGGUGAUCGGCCACACUGGAACUGAGACACGGUCCAGACUCCUACGGGAGGCAGCAGUAGGGAAUCUUCCGCAAUGGGCGAAAGCCUGACGGAGCAACGCCGCGUGAGUGAUGAAGGUCUUCGGAUCGUAAAACUCUGUUAUUAGGGAAGAACAAAUGUGUAAGUAACUAUGCACGUCUUGACGGUACCUAAUCAGAAAGCCACGGCUAACUACGUG
Molecule: ribosomal RNA, 497 nt
Filed under: uncultured bacterium
Lineage: Bacteria
Description: partial 16S ribosomal RNA
Rfam family: Bacterial small subunit ribosomal RNA (bases 55-497)
Source: RNAcentral